AUGAGCGUGGAGAUAUCCGCGCAGCUGAUCGGCUGCAGGACGGCGGCUGCUGCAUGGGCUGCCGUGCACACCAUGUUCGCCGCCGAGAACAGCGCCGGCAUGCGCAACCUUCGGCGCCAGAUCCAAGCGCUACGCAAAGGAGAUAGACCCGCCGGCGAGUACAUGCAGAAGGUUAAAUCUCUCGCCGACUCGAUGGCCGCCGCCGGUUCUCCUCUUCGCGAUGACGAGAUCAUCGACUACAUGCUGACCGGGCUCGGCUCGGUGUUCAACCCCAUCGCUGCUUCGAUGAACUUCGCCGGCGUGCCGGUCAUGUUUUCGGUGUUCUACUCCAACGUCCUCCACUACGAGGCCCUACAGCAGCAGCAAUCGGAAGUUGAGGACUGGCAGUCCUCCGCAAACGCCGCCUCCCGGCCGGCCUACCACGAUCACGCCGGUCGUGUGCCC
This 444-nucleotide ribosomal RNA is filed under the name Triticum aestivum (bread wheat). RNAcentral describes it as "partial small subunit ribosomal RNA". The record is from RNAcentral. Lineage: Eukaryota; Viridiplantae; Streptophyta; Magnoliopsida; Poales; Poaceae.